GCCGAGCUGCUUUCCUCCCCCGCCUCCCCACAAGUUCCCUGAUGCCCCCCACUUGGCACUACCGCCGUCCAGCAGUAAAGGUGGCAUUCGGAGCCGUAGCCUGGACCCUGACUGUUGGCGGCUCGUGUGCUAGCUGAGCUCACCUCCCCCUGGGCCCCACCUGCCUACUCCAGGGUCUUAGGCGGGUGGGGGUGGCACGCUGUGAGCCCUCACCGAUCUGAUCUGGGCCAAAGCCACCCACCCCCUCCAGACGCCCAUCUGCCUGUACCCUGCAGGCCCAGGCAUUGCCUUUGGUGCGUCCUUUAGACUCACCAGGAUGCCCCGCUCAGGACAGAAGACAGAAAGAGGUGGCUGCCAGGCAGACACCUCCCUCACACAGGCGCCCCCGCCCCCCUUCUUGCCUGGAGGGGAGUCUUGGCUCCAGUCCUCGCCUUGGAGGGGAGAAGCUGCUUCGCGCAGAGGAGUGCUGGCCUGUGGCUCGUGGGGCUUCUGCCAGGCCCCAGGUGCUGCCAGGCGGGUCCAGGGCCCUGUCUCGGUUCCAUUCGAGGGACACCCCGCUGGACACCCCUCCCGCCACUCUGCCCUGCCCUGCCCCAGCUCACAGGCACUCCAGUGGCCCCCCGUGUGUCCAUCUGCUCCUGCAGGCAGAAGAGGGUCUUAGACUCUAGCCGAAUCCGGCCCCUGCAGCUAGAGCCCUCCAGAGUUUCAGGGCCCCAGGCUCCUUGGCAAGGACUGAAAGGCCCCCGAAGUGGCCCACGUGCCCGUGGGACACCUUGGAGAACUGGACCCAGGCCCGGCCAGAACUGUCAGCUGCACCCCAGGGGAGCUUGCUCAGCCGGAGGUGGGUGGGGCGGAGCGAGGCUUGGACCCAGAGCAGCAGGCCUUCGGGAGGUCCCAGCGAAACGGCCCCAGAGGCUGCACCUGAGAGGCCCCCAGGGCCUUGGCGGGCCGCACAGGUGCAAGCGGGGGGCCUCCUGUCUCCUCUGGAGCCCCCCAGGCCGGGCCGCACCACCACUGCUCCCCAGCUGGGGGGUCGCCCCCAGAUGGCGGCAGCACUGGCCUCGGAACCACCAGUGUCUGCUCGUCCACCCUGAGCGCCGCCUCCGGUGGCCUGGCGUGUGGCUGCAGGCGGAGGAGAGUGAGGCCUUCGAGAGAGGGGGACCUCGUGGACCCCCCGCAGCCUGCCCGCUCUGGGACAGAGCUGCCAGGUGCAGGGUGCCCCGCCGCCACUGCAGGAUGUUGCCCAUUCUCCUCCCUCUGUUUUCGGAGGGUCACGGGCCUGUGCUGGAGGGCAGCCUCGCUCAUGAUCCUUCCAGGGCUGGGCUGCAAGGGGGUGCCAGGGUGUCCUCAACCACCCAGACUUCUGCCUCCAGCAGUGCUGGCGGCGGGCACCGCCGGAAGCCCCUGGAUGCCGGCGCCCUCCCUCCAGCACCGCUUGAGUCCGCGCUGCGGGCACUCACAGCAGCUUGUUCCCCUGGUGGGGGGUGCGGGGGAGGGCUGCCUGGCAGGGUAGGCAUCACUGCCCAGGGUGGACUCCAACACUGGCAGCCUCUGGGCACAGCACAGCCUGGCAUGGAGUCCUGCCAGCCCCAUCCUACCCCCUAUCAAAGCUCCCUGGUUCUCUUGAAGGAUCAGGUCAGCCCUGGCUGGGACAGACGGUGAGGAGGGAGGAAAGGUCAGGAGAGUCAAAGGAGGCCAGCGCCCCACCAACCAGAGCUCUGUGCACAGCAGGGCCUGGAUGGGCAGGAAGCAGUGGUCCCCGGGGGCUCCGCGGUCAGCCAGUGUGGGAGGCCGCUUUCUUCGGGAGGUUGUGUGUGGGUCUGGAGUGGUGGCCGGGGAUGGGCGUGGGACAGUGGGCUGAUCCAGGGGCAGGAAGGACAGUCGUCACCCCCAAGCUUCCUGCACACUAUUUAAAGCCUCACUUUUAGUCUGGGAUGGGGGCCUUCCCACAUCUUUGGUAUUAAAGUGUCUUUCUGUGACACAUGCUUGUCUUUCAACUUCCUCUUUGGAUGAAAAGUUGGCAUUCCUAUGAGAUUCUGGUAACUUGAGGGCUCUCUUGGUGGGGCGUGGAUGGGCCUUGGUGUGGAUGGUUCAGGGCUGGAAGGGUGAAGGUGUGGCCUUGCUGGUUGGGAGCAUGUCACAGAAAGAAGUCAUGUGGGACCCUCUCCAACAGCUUCAUCCUAGUGGGGGGUUUUGAGCACUGGAAGCAGGUCCCACCCAGGGUGGAGGAAACCGGCUGUCUGCAGGCAAGGGGAAGUUGGAUGGCAGCUCCCCCAGAAAGGGAGGGGGGCCCAAGUGUGGGAGUUAGGGUUAGGGCUGGGAAAUGGCCUCACACUCCCCUGGGUCCCCAGCAGCCGCUCACCACACCAGGGCUUGUGAUCAGAGAGUGUCCAUGAGGGAGCGGGAGGACACAGGAGAGCUGACCUCCUGGGGCAGGGGUCUCCCCACCUCUGCUCAAGUUGGGUGGGAAGCGGCCAGGGGCAUCAGGAUCGGGGGAUGGGGGCUGGAGUGGCCAAACGUAGGGCAAGCUCUUGACUGGAACUGGCCUCCCCAGGGAGGAGCCGUGUCUGGCCACCCACCUCCGAGCACUGAAGGCCAGUCGAUGGAUCCUGGGUUCGAGCUAGCGGGGAGGGCGGCUGGAAGCCAAGGACCCCUCU
This 2657-nucleotide long non-coding RNA is filed under the name Capra hircus (goat). RNAcentral's name for it is "lncRNA (ENSCHIG00010011526.1)". The record is from RNAcentral. Lineage: Eukaryota; Metazoa; Chordata; Mammalia; Artiodactyla; Bovidae.